CUAUUUUGUUGGUGAAGUAUCACAGGGCUGGCACUUCCACCACCUCUCUCAGUAACCCAGGCUGGUUUCUGACAUUUUAUGAUCGGCGACUUAAUGCAUUUCCAGGAAAUGAAUCAUGUUAGUGGUUUGGAACAGCUUUUUUUUAGAACCCAACUACAAAUACUAAACCAAUCCUCUGUGUUCCUAAAAUAAGUGGCUUCUUUAUUUUCUUUCAUCCUUUUUCUUACCACCUUUCCAGGUUUACAUAUGAAAUUGCACCAGUGUUUGUCCUCAUGGAACAAAUAACACUUAAGAAGAUGAGAGAGAUAGUUGGAUGGUCAAGUAAAGAUGGUGAUGGGAUAUUUUCUCCUGGGUAAAGGGUCCAGUGGGAAGCCCCAGCAAUAGGGAAGCCAGCAAAACCUAUCAGGAUAUUAUCCUUCCGCUUCCUGACCUCCCUUGUCUCUUGAGACACCAGCUCAGCGUUCGUUUUUAGAAACAAUAAUGAAAGAGCCCCAACACCUCCCAAUAUGUCCGCUUGCUGACAGGGGGCGCCAUAUCCAACAUGUACAGCAUCAUGGCUGCU
RNAcentral lists this small RNA (562 nucleotides) under Pongo abelii (Sumatran orangutan). RNAcentral's name for it is "retained intron". Lineage: Eukaryota; Metazoa; Chordata; Mammalia; Primates; Hominidae. The record is from RNAcentral.